This 253-nucleotide ribosomal RNA is filed under the name uncultured bacterium. Its description in RNAcentral is "partial 16S ribosomal RNA". It matches the Rfam family "Bacterial small subunit ribosomal RNA", at positions 524 to 776 of the family's 1533-position model. The record is from RNAcentral.
UACGUAGGGGGCUAGCGUUGUCCGGAAUCAUUGGGCGUAAAGCGCACGUAGGCGGCUUUCUAAGUCGGGGGUGAAAUCCUGGAGCUCAACUCCAGAACUGCCUUCGAUACUGGAGAGCUCGAGUCCGGGAGAGGUGAGUGGAACUGCGAGUGUAGAGGUGAAAUUCGUAGAUAUUCGCAAGAACACCAGUGGCGAAGGCGGCUCACUGGCCCGGUACUGACGCUGAGGUGCGAAAGCGUGGGGAGCAAACAGG